Molecule: ribosomal RNA, 465 nt
Filed under: Vreelandella stevensii
Lineage: Bacteria; Pseudomonadati; Pseudomonadota; Gammaproteobacteria; Oceanospirillales; Halomonadaceae
Description: partial 16S ribosomal RNA
Rfam family: Bacterial small subunit ribosomal RNA
Source: RNAcentral
CCUACGGGAGGCAGCAGUGGGUAAUAUUGGACAAUGGGGGCAACCCUGAUCCAGCCAUGCCGCGUGUGUGAAGAAGGCCCUCGGGUUGUAAAGCACUUUCAGUGAGGAAGAACGCCUGGUGGUUAAUACCCAUCAGGAAAGACAUCACUCACAGAAGAAGCACCGGCUAACUCCGUGCCAGCAGCCGCGGUAAUACGGAGGGUGCGAGCGUUAAUCGGAAUUACUGGGCGUAAAGCGCGCGUAGGUGGCUUGAUAAGCCGGUUGUGAAAGCCCCGGGCUCAACCUGGGAACGGCAUCCGGAACUGUCAAGCUAGAGUGCAGGAGAGGAAGGUAGAAUUCCCGGUGUAGCGGUGAAAUGCGUAGAGAUCGGGAGGAAUACCAGUGGCGAAGGCGGCCUUCUGGACUGACACUGACACUGAGGUGCGAAAGCGUGGGUAGCAAACAGGAUUAGAUACCCCAGUAGUC